GGUUCCAUAGCUCAGCUGGAUAGAGCAACGCCCUUCUAAGGCGUGGGUCGCAGGUUCGAAUCCUGCUGGAAUCA
RNAcentral lists this transfer RNA (74 nucleotides) under Blattella germanica (German cockroach). RNAcentral's name for it is "tRNA-Arg (TCT) (tRNA-Arg-TCT-24-1)". It matches the Rfam family "tRNA". Rfam says of the family: Transfer RNA (tRNA) molecules are approximately 80 nucleotides in length. Their secondary structure includes four short double-helical elements and three loops (D, anti-codon, and T loops). RNAcentral also lists the same sequence under 2 other names. Lineage: Eukaryota; Metazoa; Arthropoda; Insecta; Blattodea; Blattellidae. The record is from RNAcentral.